CUGACACAGGUGCUGCAUGGCUGUCGUCAGCUCGUGUCGUGAGAUGUUGGGUUAAGUCCGUAACGAGCGCAACCCUGUCCUUAGUUACCAGCACGUUAUGGUGGGCACUCUAAGGAGACUGCCGGUGACAAACCGGAGGAAGGUGGGGAGUGACGUCAAGUCAUCAUGGCCCUUACGGCCUGGGCUACACACGUGCUACAAUGGUCGGUACAAAGGGUUGCCAAGCCGCGAGGUGGAGCUAAUCCCAUAAAACCGAUCGUAGUCCGGAUCGCAGUCUGCAACUCGACUGCGUGAAGUCGGAAUCGCUAGUAAUCGUGAAUCAGAAUGUCACGGUGAAUACGUUCCCGGGCCUU
RNAcentral lists this ribosomal RNA (353 nucleotides) under uncultured Pseudomonas sp. RNAcentral's name for it is "bacterial SSU rRNA". It matches the Rfam family "Bacterial small subunit ribosomal RNA", at positions 1029 to 1382 of the family's 1533-position model. Lineage: Bacteria; Pseudomonadati; Pseudomonadota; Gammaproteobacteria; Pseudomonadales; Pseudomonadaceae. The record is from RNAcentral.